UCCUACGGGGCGCAGCAGUGGGGAAUAUUGCGCAAUGGGCGAAAGCCUGACGCAGCGACGCCGCGUGAGGGAUGAAGGUCUUCGGAUCGUAAACCUCUGUCAGCAGGGAAGAACGGUCACUGUGCUAAUCAGCAGUGAAUUGACGGUACCUGCAAAGGAAGCACCGGCUAACUCCGUGCCAGCAGCCGCGGUAAUACGGAGGGUGCGAGCGUUAAUCGGAAUUACUGGGCGUAAAGCGCUCGUAGGCGGUAUGUCAAGUCAAGGGUGAAAUCCCCGCGCUCACUGUGGGAACUGCCUUUGAAACU
RNAcentral lists this ribosomal RNA (305 nucleotides) under uncultured bacterium. RNAcentral's name for it is "bacterial SSU rRNA". It matches the Rfam family "Bacterial small subunit ribosomal RNA", at positions 337 to 634 of the family's 1533-position model. The record is from RNAcentral.